UGGACAACCCUGAGGACUGAAGUCCUCUGUUUAGCCACAGAACAAGUGUGAUGCGCACAGUGAUCCUUCAAGCUUUCCCAAAGGACUGUCAGUGUGUUCUCCUGGGACAGGUUUCAGGAACCUUUUCCCUCCCAGGGGCCACUUUGAAAGUUAGUACA
This 158-nucleotide small RNA is filed under the name Sphenodon punctatus (tuatara). Its description in RNAcentral is "TUC338 (ENSSPUG00000012678.1)". Lineage: Eukaryota; Metazoa; Chordata; Lepidosauria; Sphenodontia; Sphenodontidae. The record is from RNAcentral.